GCAAGUCGAACGAGAAGCGGGCUUCGGCCCGUGGACAGUGGCGAAAGGGUGAGUAACGCGUUCCUUACGUACCCCGAGGUGGGGGAUAGGUCGGAGAAAUCCGGCGUAAUACCCCAUGAACUCUACGGAGAAAAGGCUUCGGCCGCCUCGGGAGCGGGGAGCGUCCCAUCAGGUUGUUGGUGAGGUAAAGGCUCACCAAGCCAAAGACGGGUAGCGGGUGUGAGAGCAUGGCC
Molecule: ribosomal RNA, 233 nt
Filed under: uncultured bacterium
Lineage: Bacteria
Description: partial 16S ribosomal RNA
Rfam family: Bacterial small subunit ribosomal RNA
Source: RNAcentral